Molecule: long non-coding RNA, 219 nt
Filed under: Elaeis guineensis (African oil palm)
Lineage: Eukaryota; Viridiplantae; Streptophyta; Magnoliopsida; Arecales; Arecaceae
Description: long non-coding RNA (EGUI_LNC063471)
Source: RNAcentral
CCAACCUAUACACAGUACAUGUAUAUAUAAACACCGGGUCAAGUGACCCAAACCCAAAACUCCCUUGACCAACUCUAUGGGAGAUUAGGUUAACCCAAGCCCAUGUACACCCAUGACUCGACCUAAUCUCACCUAUCCUGGGCCCAAACCUGGCCCAUAAAGAGUUGGUCCCUUGAGGCCCACAUAACCUAGACCUCAAGAACCCGAAAGGCCCACAAC